RNAcentral lists this long non-coding RNA (1383 nucleotides) under Piliocolobus tephrosceles (Ugandan red Colobus). Its description in RNAcentral is "lncRNA (ENSPTEG00000015115.1)". The record is from RNAcentral. Lineage: Eukaryota; Metazoa; Chordata; Mammalia; Primates; Cercopithecidae.
AUGAUGAGAACGGAAAGGGUAUAAGAUAUAAAAAGAUGAGAUUAGAUGGGGGCAUAUGUAAUGAUACAAAUGAUGGGACAAAUAACGACCAACGAUUUGUAUCUUGUCGAUACACAAAUACAAGAAAAAAUCGUUUGUAUACAGAUAGUAAUAUCAUUCAUCGUUAUCAUCGAAGUCACAGUCGGUGUAGCAAUAGUGGCGAUGUUUUUGGUACCAAAAUACAUUUCGAAAAAAGUAACAUGGGUACAUCUUUAUCAAUGAAUAAUUUAAUAAAUAGAACUAUAAAUAAAAACAGUUUGAAUAGGGAUGACAGUAGGUUAAGGAAUAAUGAUAAAAAAUUACUAUACUUGAACGAAUUUGAUGUUUGUUUGGAGUGUAUUCAUACUAAUCAAAGGGUGUGCUGUUACAGAAUAGUACUAACAAUUUUUAUAUUUCUUUUUGAUCAUUCGAAAUGUAUAUCGGAAUAUUACAAAUAUAUGCUUAAAGUCGGUUUGAUGAAUAGUGAGUUUAAAAAACAUGUUGAUGAUACAAAAGAAAACGGAAAGAUACAAUACCGUUUUGAAAUAUGUAGAUGUAAAAAAAAUAUAUGUAAAUAUUUAUUUCUUUAUCACCAUCGUAAUAAUAACUUUAUAAAAAAGUUGAUGUAUUGUUUUUUACACAUGUUAAUAGAAAUAAACUACAAAAAAAAAGAAAAAAAAAAAACGAAUGGGAUGGGUGAUAUGAGAAUUGCGGAUAGUUUUGUAAAUAAGUUUUAUAAUGAGUUUUAUAAUAAGGGGUAUGUGAACAAACGUGUAAAAAGUUGUAUAAGUUUAUGCAAUGACGACACGUGGAAAAACAAAUUAAAAAUGUUAGCUGACCAAGUCAUUAAAAGAAUUGCAUUAAUAUUAUCAAAUCGUUUCGUACUAGCUAAGAAUAGUAUAUUUAUUUAUAUAAAGAAUCAUAUGAAUGAAUUGGAUGUUUCUACUUUUAUAUAUACUUUGUGUAAUGUAAUAAAUUAUCAUUCUUUGUUUUUAGAUACUGCUAUAUAUGGUCUAUAUGUUAUAGAAACAGUUUUAAAAUGUAUAUUACAUAUACAGCCGAUUGAAAUAAAAAAGUGUAUGCAAACAUCUUUUUUUUCUGAAUUAUGCAUAUGUAUAUGUAAUAUAUGUAAUAAACCUAAGAUAAAAAAAAAAACAUUUGGUUUAUUACUAUUAAUAAGAGUUAUUAAAAUUUUACAUCCGCAGUGGGUACAGUCAAAUGUGUAUAACAUAAUUUAUGUUUUAUUGUCUUGUUAUGAGCAGUCUGAAUUACAAUAUGAAAUAAGCAUUAAAUUGUUAUUAAAAGAAUGUACUGGUUUAGUUUUUUCUUCUUUAUUAAUUGGUUAUGUUGGAGAAGUAAAUAUGU